Molecule: long non-coding RNA, 2147 nt
Organism: Formica exsecta
Lineage: Eukaryota; Metazoa; Arthropoda; Insecta; Hymenoptera; Formicidae
Exons: 3
Source: RefSeq, a predicted model, not a curated record
CGAAUGGAGGAUGAGAAUUCCCUUUUUCUUUUUUUUCCCCCCAUUUUUUUUUCGUUACACAGAGAGAUGGAUCAUGGAUCUCGAUCUGUCAAAAUCGAACGCGAUCCUCCCACACGUUCUUUCGUUGACAGAUGUAGACGACGGUAUUCGAGUAAGUGAAAUAAACGCAAAAUGAAAAAAAUGUGAAAAAAAAUGUGCUUUUAGGUUACUCAUUUUUAAUACUAUUCCAAUUCGCGAUUCAAAUGGCGCGAACACAAUUCACGAUUUAUCCGUGCAGUUUAUCACGCAUGCUACAUCGUUUAUCGCGAUACUCGAUAAACCCUGUUCCGUUGCUUAUUUCUUGAUAAUGAGCGACAAUUAAUCAUUGUUUCUGUUAAUCAUUAUUUGUAUUCGUGUCGGUUGUUCUUCCGCCUUUUAACUAUAAUUUCCGUAAUUAUUUUAAAUCAAUAAUGUUCAGGCAGAAAUGCACCGUUCGCCUCGUGUGCUUUGUUAAAUUUAUUUUUGAACGAUACGAGAUAAGACGCGUUGUAAAAGUUGUAAGGGCCACGAGGUUAAGAAACCGGCAACAAAGCGUCGUUUAACACGGCUCUUGGUACAACAUAUAUCGCUUUUUCACGUUUUUCGACUUUGCGUAUUAAUUACGUGUUUCGAUAUAAACAAUACUAAUAUGCAUAUUGAAAAAUCAUUCAUGUAUGUACACGUAUACGUAUAUACUCAUGAAAAUGUACUCCAAUGCACGUUUAAUCAUCCAUGUACAAACGUUCAUUCAUAUAUAAUGUACUACUAGUUACAACGGAAUGCGAUGCGAGACAACCGUUAUCGAUGUUAUCACCGUGUCAUCGGUAUCAUAGUUUUAUGAGAUAUUUUCUGCACGAUAUUCGAGGGGUCGCUUAUGUCAAUCUGUAUCAUAGUUGAUAAUGCAUCAGGCACUCUAAUAAAAUGCGUUUAACAUUGAAUUAUAAAUAUAUUGCAAAUCUAGCAAAAUAAUAAGUCUCUUGUUUUCUCUCAACUUAAUCGCUAACAAAAGUGCUGAGUAUCAAUUUUUCUCGAUAAGAUUGUAUUAUCGCGGUAGAGGAUAAAUGUAUGUAGGUAAAGCUAUCUCGAUUGUAUUAUUUGCAGAUUUGUUAGUCAAUGAUUUUGUUUUGACUUGUGCGCGUCACGUAACCCAUAAUUUAUUCAUAUUAUUUUUAAAACGUGUAUAUUUUUUUCUAUAAAGACAGAUAUGUACAUCAUUUAUCAUCUUAAGUGCAUAAUUUAAAAAGAAUGUACGAUAAUUAGCAGUUCUAAUCUUGUACACUUCGAGUUUGUCGCGACGCAUCUCCUCGUACUUUCACUCGCUAAGAGAAUAUGUAUUGGUCGCGUAACACACAAGGAAUUUCUUUCUUCUCGUUUAACAAAAAUUCCGAUGCAGAUUGCAGAUCUCAUCCUCUGCAUUCUUUUCACGUUGCGCUCCUACCUGCCUAGCUUAUCGCGCAAAGGAACGCAGUUCGAGUCGCCGGAGGAUAAAAGCCGAUUAUUCGCACGCGACAGAGAUGAUUGCUAGACGCAUGUUUGCCGGUGGACCAGCCGCCGCCGUCACCGUCGGAGGCUGACAUCGCGUCCCGAGAAUGAACCUGAAGGCUAUUUAUAGUAAGGAGCGACUUCUAGUUCCCACCGCGUGAAAAAUCACGACUGGUUUCUUGCGAGUAGGAAUGGAAGGAGAGGAAAGAGAAAGAAAGACGUAAAGAGUGGCUGGCGCGUUUCAAGUAUAAGUCAGCGCUGAACAUUAGCGACUCUUUGCGAACAGUUUGAUGGAGCAUCAUUCGUAACCGCGAGUUAUUAAGACGGCAACUACACAGGUAAUUUACUCGAUUGAUGAACAUUUGUCAAUUGAGACAAAGCGGAGAGAUGACCUAAGACAGAAAGAAUCUUUUAACGAUUUGGAUCCAAGGAAUCAGAUAAUGAAACAAUCCAGCCGAGUAUCAUUCAGUAAUCCAACAGCGGCAAGGGACACGAUACUCGCCACUCGCGUGAAUCACGCGAGUGGCCGAAUCGCGACAUUCGCGACGCAACCUCUACGUGGUCGACGGACGCACGAUGCUACAACUCGCAUCGUAAUUCGAUUUAGAAGAAGGAUGAUGAUGAUGAUACUGAUGUAAUUACCCCCG